Molecule: unclassified non-coding RNA, 1780 nt
Filed under: Amphibalanus amphitrite
Lineage: Eukaryota; Metazoa; Arthropoda; Thecostraca; Balanomorpha; Balanidae
Description: myosin IC heavy chain-like, transcript variant X2
Source: RNAcentral
GUGAUGAACAGAGGCCGGGGUGGACGCGGAGGACGGGGUCGCGGCGGGCCGGCGGCCCCGCCGCACCUGAUGCACGGUGUACCGCCGCUGCGGCUCAAACCGGGCCGCGGCCGCUCGCCGCGCGGUCCGGUCCGGGGGCCGCCGCGCGGCGCGGGCGCGCCGGCACCGCGGCCGCAGCCGCUGCUGGCGCCGCUGCGCCGGCCCCGACCGCUGGUACCGCCGCAGCAGCUGAUGUCCCCCGUGACACCGCGGCCGCGCUACCCACCGCGCUCCGCCGCGCCGCGACCCUUCUACGACCCACCGGCCCUGGACGACGGCGGGGCGUACUAUGAGGAAAGCGGUCAGUACUAUGAUGAAGGCGGAGAGUACUAUGAGGAGACUGGCCCGUACUAUGAGGAGAGCGGAGAGUACUAUGAGGAGGGCGGGGAGUACUAUGAAGAGACGGGCCCGUACUAUGAGGAGGGCGGAGAGUACUAUGAGGAGUCUGGCCCGUACUAUGAGGAGAGCGUCCCGUUCCACGACGGGGGUGCUCCAUUCCGCGGUAGGGGUGCUCCGAGGCGAGUCAGGGGUGCUCCCAUGAGGGCUAGGGGCUCUCCCAUGCGAGGAAGGGGUGCCCCCAUGCGGGGUCGAGGCGCUCCGAUGCGGGGCAUGGGUGCUCCGAUGCGAGGAAUGGGUGCUCCGAUGCGGGGCGCAGGCCCUCCAGUCCGCGGGAGAGGCGCCCCACUGCGGGGCAGAGGAGCAUCAGCGCGCGGCGCGGGCACCCCAGUUCGGGGCAGGGGCGCCCCGGCGCGAGGCAGGGGUCGUGGCCGUGGAGCCACUGCGGCCAGCACAACUCCCCAGUCCAAGACACCAAAGGUACUGAAGAAAACAUCCAAAACUGAAAAGGAGCGGGACGCCGGUGACCUGCUGAAGCCGUGGGUCACUCCCGAGCUGCGCGCCGAGAUCGAGAAGAAACAGAAGAUGCACGAGGCCUCGCGCGAGUCGGGCGACGCCAAGGACUUUGAGGCGUUCAAGGAGCAGCGCAACAAGGUGACCUCCAUGAUGCGAGCCGCCAAAAUGGAGUAUAUCGGCAUGCACGACGAGGAGAGCUGCGCGCCUGCCGGCUGAUCUGACCUGGUCUAUGACCUGAAGAAGCAACACUUCCAAACGGAGCUCGACGCUGAGCGGCGGCGUCAACUGACGGCUGCCACACCGGGGCUACAGAACCUAUCGGCUGCGGCGAUUCCUUCCGCUGGAAGACUGACACGGCCGGAGACCACCACCGAAGGUCAGCAAAUUGGGGCUGGUCCGUGAAGGGGGUCCGGCAACAUCGACAGUUUCGCCGUACAGGACCGUCUGACCCCCACCCUCCCUCUAGAGGCCAAGAGUAUCAUCAGCUCCGUAGAGCUCGGAAGGGGUGCUCGGGCGGCGGGCGAGGCUGCCCGAUGCCUGCCGCACUGCUGCAGUCCGCCGCCCCUCCAAGACCGGGUCUCCUCCCGUGUUUCACGGAGAGUGCAGAAGUUAAGAGAAUGAUGUUGAGGCCACAGGUGUGGUGCAGGAUGCGGCAGUUUUGAGAUCGCAGAAGAAUGGUGCAAAGAGAGACGAGAUCAUUGAGAGAAUAUGGCGCAAGGCCCACAGUGACAUCGGCGUACUGAUUAGCCCUCUGAGCUUGAUUUGCAAUACACGUCAUAACAUCAGCUUUUUCUCUUAACUUUAUAUGAAUAAGAAAUGGGCAAAUUAUGCACGGUGCAUAGGUACCCCUCUAGUCCCAAGGUGACUGUUCGCUACAUCGAUAAUCUGC